This 1345-nucleotide ribosomal RNA is filed under the name uncultured bacterium. Its description in RNAcentral is "partial 16S ribosomal RNA". It matches the Rfam family "Bacterial small subunit ribosomal RNA", at positions 28 to 1381 of the family's 1533-position model. The record is from RNAcentral.
GACGAACGCUGGCGGCGUGCUUAACACAUGCAAGUCGAACGGAAAGGCCCUGCUUUUGUGGGGUGCUCGAGUGGCGAACGGGUGAGUAACACGUGAGUAACCUGCCCUUGACUUUGGGAUAACUUCAGGAAACUGGGGCUAAUACCGGAUAGGAGCUCCUGCUGCAUGGUGGGGGUUGGAAAGUUUCGGCGGUUGGGGAUGGACUCGCGGCUUAUCAGCUUGUUGGUGGGGUAGUGGCUUACCAAGGCUUUGACGGGUAGCCGGCCUGAGAGGGUGACCGGCCACAUUGGGACUGAGAUACGGCCCAGACUCCUACGGGAGGCAGCAGUGGGGAAUAUUGCACAAUGGGCGGAAGCCUGAUGCAGCAACGCCGCGUGCGGGAUGACGGCCUUCGGGUUGUAAACCGCUUUCGCCUGUGACGAAGCGUGAGUGACGGUAAUGGGUAAAGAAGCACCGGCUAACUACGUGCCAGCAGCCGCGGUGAUACGUAGGGUGCGAGCGUUGUCCGGAUUUAUUGGGCGUAAAGGGCUCGUAGGUGGUUGAUCGCGUCGGAAGUGUAAUCUUGGGGCUUAACCCUGAGCGUGCUUUCGAUACGGGUUGACUUGAGGAAGGUAGGGGAGAAUGGAAUCCCUGGUGGAGCGGUGGAAUGCGCAGAUAUCAGGAGGAACACCAGUGGCGAAGGCGGUUCUCUGGGCCUUUCCUGACGCUGAGGAGCGAAAGCGUGGGGAGCGAACAGGCUUAGAUACCCUGGUAGUCCACGCUGUAAACGGUGGGUACUAGGUGUGGGGUCCAUUCCACGGGUUCCGUGCCGUAGCUAACGCUUUAAGUACCCCGCCUGGGGAGUACGGCCGCAAGGCUAAAACUCAAAGGAAUUGACGGGGCCCCGCACAAGCGGCGGAGCAUGCGGAUUAAUUCGAUGCAACGCGUAGAACCUUACCUGGGUUUGACAUGGAUCGGGAGUGCUCAGAGAUGGGUGUGCCUCUUUUGGGGUCGGUUCACAGGUGGUGCAUGCCUGUCGUCAGCUCGUGUCGUGAGAUGUUGGGUUAAGUCCCGCAACGAGCGCAACCCUUGUUCACUGUUGCCAGCACGUUAUGGUGGGGACUCAGUGGAGACCGCCGGGGUCAACUCGGAGGAAGGUGGGGAUGACGUCAAGUCAUCAUGCCCCUUAUGUCCAGGGCUUCACGCAUGCUACAAUGGCUGGUACAGAGAGUGGCGAGCCUGUGAGGGUGAGCGAAUCUCGGAAAGCCGGUCUCAGUUCGGAUUGGGGUCUGCAACUCGACCUCAUGAAGUCGGAGUCGCUAGUAUCGCAGAUCAGCAACGCUGCGGUGAAUACGUUCCCGGGGCU